Molecule: ribosomal RNA, 369 nt
Filed under: Staphylococcus aureus
Lineage: Bacteria; Bacillati; Bacillota; Bacilli; Caryophanales; Staphylococcaceae
Description: partial 23S ribosomal RNA
Rfam family: Bacterial large subunit ribosomal RNA
Source: RNAcentral
CGACAGGACGGAGAGACGCCGUGGAGCUUUACUGUAGGCUGAUAUUGAAAGUCGGCACAUGUUGGACAGGAUAUGUAGGAGCCUGUGAAACGUGAGCGCUAGCGUACGUGGCGGCGCUGGUGUGAUACUACACUAGCUGUGUUGGAUUUGUAACCCGGACCACGGAUCGUGGUGGGAGACAGGGUCAGGCGGGCAGUUUGACUGGGGUGGUCGCCUCCUAAAAGGGAACGGAGGCGAUGAAAGGUUCCCUCAGAAUGGUUGGAAAUCAUGCAUAGAGUGUAAAGGCAUAAGGGAGCGUGACUGCGAGACCUACAAGUCGAGCAGGGUCGAAAGACGGACUUAGUGAUCCGGUGGUUCCGCAUGGAAGGG